AGACCAACCAAAGAUUGCCACGUAGUCAAGAUAAAGGCCCAUAAAGGAUGAAGCCCGUCGAAUCCGUGAGCCAAGGGAACAGUCGAAGUGGGUAUCGCCACAAGGAGAAUCCGAAGUGACUGCAUUUCGGCAUGAGUCCGGCAUCGAAAUCACGGUUGAAUCGGUUUAAGGACAUUUGGGCCAAAAGGCGGGGCCCAUGAAGAUCAGAGUCAAUUCAAAUUCAAACGUUGAGGCAUUAAAGCCGAAGAUCAAAACGGACACAUUUAAGAGAGAAUAAUUAUACUUAAUUAGCCAUUUUAAUGUCGUUUUCCUAUGUAUAAAUACAAAGGCCAAUGGCCAUGUAAGGGGGAUCUUCCUCUCAAGAAAGAAAUACUAUAGCAAUUUUCGUAGCAAUUUAUAAGUUUUUACAUAUUCAUUUUUGUCCCUCAAGAGUAAUCUUACCUACUUAAUAAAAAUACUUGAGUGUGUGAAUCCGACAUCCACAUUUUGGCGCCGUCUGUGGGGAGAUAGGAUUCUUGAGUGGUCAGAUUUUUCUUUAUUACACUUCCGAGAUAAGCAACAAUGUCCGGAGGAGACACCGUUGAGACAUCAUUGGCCGAAACCCUCAAAGCUAUGCAGCAAACCAUGUCGGACAUAUCACAAAAGUUCUCGGAUGUGGAAAAGGCCGUCGAUACGUUGCAAACAUCCCAGGUAUCUCUUAGUCAAAACGUCAGUACUAUACAAACUCGUGUUCGCUCUUUAAGUGCAGGAAACCUUGUGGGAAUCCGAAGAGGGAUAUUCAACUCGCCAAGUUCCGCUGCACGAAAUGAAACCAGCGGACAAACAACUCCCGGUGCUACUGAUAAUGUAGUUCAGACGUUGGAAGAAGAGACACAGCUCGGAGAUGAAGAACAACUUGCAGCUCAAUACGAGCAGGAGAACCUCGACCAGUUCGAGACCAUGAGGAAGGUUAGCCAGGAAUUAAAAGAAAUGAAAUCAAAAUUUCAUCAAGCUACAAGUUCGGAGCCAGACAUCAAUCGAGUCAUUGAAGAAGCUAGGCGAACACCUUUCAUCUCGCGAAUUGCAAGUUUGAGGAUCAAAGAUUCCCGGAAACUUAAGUUGGACCCUUACAGCGGAUUGGAGGAUCCAAAAAGCUAUCUCGCAGCUUUUCUGAUCGCUGCUGGAAGAGUCGAAUUGGAUGAAGCUGAUGAGGACGCAGGUUACUGCAAGCUUUUUUCGGAAAAUCUAUGUGGCCAAGCCCUAAUGUGGUUCACCCAAUUAGAGCCGGGUUCAAUCAGCAAUUUUGACGAACUAUCAGCCGUAUUCUUAAAGCAAUAUUCCAUCCUUAUGGAUAAAAGCGUUUCGGAUGCCGAUCUUUGGAACUUAUCGCAAGGAUCAAAUGAGUCACUUCGAGUUUUCAUCACCAAAUUCAAAGGAGUGCUGUCAAAGCUCCCAAGAAUCUCGCAGCAAUCAGCUUUAUCUGCCCUACGAAAAGGAUUGCGACAUGAUUCAAGGUUUAAAGAAGACUUAAUACUUCAUAAACCAGACACAAUUCAGGAUGCACUCUUCCGCGCAAACAACUGGAUGGAGGUAGAGGACGAAAAAGAAAGUUUUGCCAAAAGAAAUAAGCAAGAGAAGCCGGCAAUCACCGUCCCUACCAAAAAAUUCGAACCCAGGGAGAACAAAGGACCAAAGAAAUUUGGGUCGCAACCCUUCAACAGUACCGUCGGAAAGCAAUUCCAAGGGAAAGGAAGAUCAAACACUUGGGUCCGUGAUGAAAGUCUAUAUUGCGACAUUCAUAAACUAACCGGACAUUUAACCAAGGAUUGUAGCGUUCUUAAAAGGCACCUCGCAGAGCUUUGGGCCAGUGGAGAUCUUUCCAAAUUCGAUAUAAAAGAUUUUGUGAAGGAAUACCACGAAGCAAAGGAAAGUUCCAAAGAUCAAAAUUCCAAAAGACCAAGGUUAACCAACGAGGAAGAACCAAGGAAUUCGAAGGGUAAGAUCAAUGUUAUUCUAGGAGGUUCCAAAUUUUGCGGAGAUUCGAUAAGUUCCAUCAAGAAACAUAGACGAAAUAUCUUACUCAAAGCAAGCUUGAGCAAAGAAGAAGAUUUUCAAGGUGCCUCAAUAUCAUUUAACGAAGAAGAAACGCGGCAUCUCGAAAGACCGCAUGAUGAUGCUCUAGUCAUUACCCUUGAUGUUGCUAACUUCGAAGUAUCAAGGAUCCUUAUCGAUACAGGCAGUUCGGUCGACUUGAUCUUUUUAAGUACUCUAGAAAGAAUGGGAAUCAGCCGAGGAGACAUAGUAGGACCCCCAUCUCCAUUAGUUGCGUUCACAAGCGAGUCAGCCAUGUCUCUCGGAACAAUCAAGCUACCGGUCCUUGCCAAAAAGGUAUCGAAGAUCGUGGACUUCGUUGUCUUCGAUAAGCCCGCAGCUUACAACAUCAUCCUCGGGACUCCCUGGAUUUAUCGAAUGAAAGCAGUCCCCUCUACAUACCAUCAAUGUAUCAAAUUUCCAACAUCAAAUGGGGUGGAAACAAUUCGGGGAGAUCAAGAAGCUUCACGGACGUGUUACCUAGCUAGCCACCGUUUGAAGAUCCAAUAGCAAUUAACAAAGCCCGCAAAAGAAGGACUAAGGCAAAAAUUUCCUAGUGGGCAGGAAAAAGAGGAUGUAGUAGUCGAAGUGGUAUUGGAAGAAGACAAACCAGAUCGGAAAGUCCGAAUUGGAGCAACUUUGACUGGCCAAAUAAAAGAAGCUUUGGUCGAACUUUUAAGGAGAAACAAAACAUCGUUUGCGUGGUCAGCAGCAGACAUGCCUGGUAUAGAUCCAAAUAUAAUUUGUCACGAGCUAAACGUGGAUCCGAGCUUCAAGCCGGUGAAACAGAAAAGAAGAAAGCUCGGAGUGGAGCGAGCCAAAAUAGUAAAUGACGAAGUGGAUAAACUUUUGAAGAUAGGGUCCAUAAGAGAAGUGCAAUACCCGGAAUGGGUAACAAACACUGUCGUUGUCAAAAAGAAGAAUGGGAAAGAUAGGGUUUGCAUCGAUUUCACAGACCUAAAUAAAGCAUGUCCCAAAGAUAGUUUCCCGCUCCCACAUAUAGAUCGACUUGUAGAGUCCACCGCUGGGAACGAGCUGUUAACAUUCAUGGACGCCUUCUCGGGUUAUAAUCAAAUAAUGAUGAACCCCGAAGACCAAGAAAAAACGUCAUUCAUCACUGAUAGAGGUAUCUAUUGUUAUAAGGUAAUGCCUUUUGGUUUGAAAAAUGCAGGAGCAACUUAUCAACGGUUGGUUAACAAGAUGUUCCAUAAUCAUCUCGGGAAAACAAUGGAAGUCUACAUAGAUGAUAUGUUGGUUAAAUCGUUAAAGAAAGAGGAUCACGUUAAGCAUUUAGAGGAAUGUUUUGAUAUUCUCAAUAAAUAUCAAAUGAAGCUGAACCCGGCGAAGUGCACAUUUGGAGUCCCAUCCGGAGAAUUUCUUGGUUAUAUCGUGACAGAAAGAGGGAUUGAAGCCAAUCCAAAUCAAAUUAACGCCUUUCUAAACAUGCCCUCUCCAAGAAACUUCAAAGAAGUACAACGGUUGACUGGGCGGAUUGCGGCUCUGAAUCGUUUUAUCUCGAGAUCAACAGAUAAGUCGUUGCCUUUCUACCAAAUUCUAAAAGGGAACAAAGGAUUCCUUUGGGAUGAGAAGUGUGAAGAAGCUUUUGGGCAGCUUAAGGCAUACUUAACCACUCCACCUAUAUUGUCCAAACCGGAAGUGGAUGGAAAACUUUAUUUGUACGUGUCGGUUUCAAACCACGCGGUUAGUGGAGUCUUGGUUCGAGAGGACCGCGGGGAAUAGAAACCAAUUUACUACGUAAGCAAGUCAAUGACGGAUCCGGAAACCAGAUACACAAUGAUGGAAAAACUCGCACUCGCGGUGGUGACUUCGGCCCGAAAGCUGCGCCCAUAUUUUCAAUCCCAUCCGGUUGAAGUAUUAACCAACCAACCACUCCGAACAAUACUUCAUAGUCCAAGUCAGUCCGGACGUUUGGCGAAAUGGGCGGUGGAGUUAAGCGAGUACGGUAUAGAAUUCAAAAGCCGGAUCAGUAUGAAAGCUCAGGUUUUAGCAGAUUUCUUAACCGAGCUACCAAUACCUGGAACGAUAGAGCAACUGGAGAACCAAACUUGGAAAUUACACGUAGACGGGUCUUCAACAAAGCAAGGAUCUGGAGUGGGAAUCAAGUUGGAGUCUCCAACAUCAGAAAUUCUAGAACAAUCAUUCCGGUUGUUAUUCAAUGCCUCCAACAACGAGGCAGAAUACGAAGCCCUGAUUGCCGGACUUCGAUUAGCACAAGGAGUUGGAGCUAAGGAAAUAUUGGCUUAUUGCGAUUCGCAGUUAGUAGUUAACCAGUUUAAUGGAGACUAUGAAGCCAAAGACUCAAGAAUGGAAGCGUACCUCGAAGUGGUGAAGGAUCUAUCUAAAAAUUUCUCGAAAUUCAAAUUAAUCCGCAUACCUCGGGGGGAGAAUACAACUGCGGACGCACUUGCCGCAUUGGCGUCAACAUCAGAUCCUGAGUUGAAAAGAGUUAUUCCAGUGGAAUGCAUUUCGGAGCGAAGCAUUCAAGACGACAAGAAAACCCUCGUCGUUACAAGGUCUCGAGCAGCGGCACGUGACCGUGGCGAACCAGAGAUCGAACCUCCACCCAACAAACGGAGGAAGUCAAGGGGAUCCAACACAUCUGACAAGGAACCCGUUCUCUUAGCAGAAGAUGUGAUUCCAGAAACGAUAUUAGAAACCGAGACGUUAAUCGAGGAGAAUGUUCUUGAACCAAACGAACAUCCCGAACCGGAGCCACGAGUAUUUCACAAGGUCGACCAAAUUCCGGCUAAAGACUGGGGGGCUGACUGGAGGGAGCCAAUAAAGCACUACAUUAUGACAGGCGAGCUCCCAAAGAAUAAAUGGCAGGCCAGAAAAAUGAGAAUCGUUAGCGCGAAAUUUUGUCUGUCAAAAGACACAUUGUAUAGACGAGGUGUCAGUGACCCUUACCUAUUAUGCAUUUUUGGGCCCGAAGUCGAAAUCGUUAUGAGCGAAGUGCAUGAAGGAUUAUGUGGGAGUCAUUCAUCAGGAAGGGCUAUGGCUUUUAAAGUUAAAAGAAUGGGAUAUUAUUGGCCCACUAUGAUCACAGAUUGUGUUAAGUUCGCCCAAAGAUGCAAGCGCUGCCAACUCCAUGCACCAUUGAUCCAUCAACCGUCGGAAUUAUUCUCCUCCAUUUCCGCUCCAUACCCGUUUAUGAGGUGGUCAAUGGACAUCAUUGGACCAUUGCACAAGUCAACUCGAGGUGUACAAUACCUUUUAGUCCUUACGGACUACUUUUCGAAAUGGAUUGAAGCUGAGGCGUAUGUUGGUAUCAAGGAUUCAGCGGUGAAGACCUUUAUUUGGAAAAACAUUAUAUGUCGACAUGGAGUUCCGUACGAAAUAGUCACUGAUAAUGGACCACAAUUCAUUUCACACGAGUUUGAUACCUUUUGUGCGGACUGGGAAAUCAAAGUUAGUUAUUCUACUCCACGAUAGCCGCAAGGAAACGGUCAAGCCGAAGCCGCGAACAAGACGAUAUUGAGCAAUCUCAAGAAACGCUUAAAUCAUCUAAAGGGAGGAUGGUAUGAAGAACUCCAACCCGUCCUGUGGGCCUAUCGCACAACCCCUAGGCGACCUACAGGAGAAACUCCAUUCUCUUUGGUUUAUGGCAUGGAGGCGGUAGUACCAGCUGAACUCAAUGUGCCCGGACUUCGCCGAACAGAAGCACCGUUAAAUGAGGAAGAAAAUUCAGCAAUGCUUAAUGAUUCACUAGAUACCAUAAAUGAAAGGCGUGAUCAAGCUUUGAUUCGGAUCCAGAAUUACCAGUAGGUAGCAGCCCGGUAUUACAAUUCUAAGGUUAAAAGUAGGCCGUUCUCCGUGGGAAAUUAUGUAUUAAGGCGCGUCUUUGACAACAAAAAGGAAGAAGGUGCCGGUAAACUCGGUAUUAAUUGGAAAGGACCUUACAUUAUUACCGAAGUGGUUCGGAAUGGUGUUUAUAGGUUGAAAGACUUAGAAGACAAUCCAGUCAAGCGACCUUGGAAUGUGAUCAACCUAAAGAAGUUUUAUGUUUAAAGCUACGUGCAUUGUUUAUGUACAUGAACUACGGUGUGGCUUGAUCCCGAAAUGGGUACGUAGGCAGCUCGGAAACGAGUUCAGCUAUUAAUAAAAAUUUGUUUUAUUUCUUUAUUAAAGGAAAAAGGUUCGACUGUGCAAACAAGUGAAGCAAAUAAAGGUUCGGCUAUGCGAACAUACAAGAGAUUGGAAAUAGAGCGUUUAUUCGAAAGACGGAAUGUCCCUCAUCGUACACUUCGGACUAUGAAAAUCUUGUUGACGAGCAGAACACUUCAACUCCUUGACCAGCAAGAUCGAGGAUUGGCAUCAUGCAGUCCGGAAUUCGAGCAAAGUCAGAAAUUCCAAGCUCAGUCCACUCUCCGGGGUGAGAUUCAAGGAUGUGAAGGUCUCUUGACACCGUAGUAAGCCUGCGUUGCAUCCGGUUAAUCCUCUUCCGGAGUCUCCUCUUUUCCAACAUAAGCUUCCGGUGUUGGAGCGCGAGUGCCUCUAUGAACGCCGUCGCUGUUCCUUGGUUUCUGAUUGGGAGAUCCCUGAUCAAAGCACAUGGGGCUCGGAUCUGAGAUCUUAAGAAGCUGUGAAGUGGAGGAGGCUGCCUGCUUGGCUCAUUUGGAACAUCUUCGUUUAUCAUUCCGAUUCUGGAGAAGUCGGGCAUAGAUUCUGAACAGCGAAGAUUGAACUCCAUACCUACUAAAAUGAAAAGAAUGGUGAGGAGUAGAGGGAAAUUGAGACUAUAAUUUAUAGGAACGUUAUAUCCCUAGCAAGCUGCGGAUUCUAUCCUAGGAAUGGAGUGAUUUGCGGAGAGAUUUAUGCCCUCGAACAGAUCCUGCAUUAAAAGACGCAUUUUCGAGAAUAUUUGAAAAAUAAGGAAAAUUGCAAAUGUUUCCAUAAAUAAAAAGGGGCCGAAGCCCAUUACGAGUUCAAAAUAAGUGAAAAAGUUAGAGAACAUUUAUGGAAGAGGCUCAGGAACAGGCUCCUUCAUCGCCGGUUUAGUCUUCGAAGUGGACGCCUUGUUCUUGGCAUCCACUUCGGGAUGAUCCCGAACGCGUUUCCGACAGGUGCUGGCCUCCUCUUCGUCUUCUUCUUCGCUGUCAGAUGGAACGGCAUAGACCGGGGCGUUCACGGGACCCGGGACUCCUUUAGCGCGGAGAUACAUCCGAAACAUCUUCGGGAUCUCAGCGACAGAGUCAAAGUUUUGCCAUUCCCAUUGAAAGGGAUCACUUUCCAAGGCCCGUAUCUUCCUCUCCACCCGAGCGAUGCGAGCCUCGAGUGUUUGCCUUUUGAGGCCCAGCCGUUGCCUCUCUUCACACAAGCGACGGUGUUUGUCGGCAACCUAGCAUAAAGAUGAAUGAAUAAGAUGAAACAAAAGGUUUUUAAAUCAAAAACUUUAAAUAUUUACCUUGUCAAUAAAGUCGCAAGCCUCUUUCUUCUCCUUUGAAGGAAAGUGAAAGACGGCGUGAGGGAAGAGAACGCCGGCCGGUUCAAAGCCGUCGCCGGACAAGAAAAGUGGGCUGCCGGGAUCAACGGGGGCUACUUUUUCGUUUUCCAUUCUCGAAAUAUUUCUCAAGUAAGAUUCUAAAAUCAUGUUUAAAUAAAGCUUAGAAGUAGGUAAGCCUUUAUUUAUAAUGAUUUAGGGUUUGUCUUGGAACCAUAAAACCAAUAAUGGUAGUGUGCCCGAGUGGUUUAAACCAUUUUUGGAAAAUCGAGAAAAGGCAGUUAUUGCAUUAAAGACGAGCCGUUUUCCCUACUUUUGAGAAAUAAGAAGGGAAAGAGCAACCGUCGCAUUAACUACAAAGUUUUCUAAGGCUCAAGCCCAAUAAAUUUAUCGAGUUGACUAAACCCGAAGUGGGGAACUCGCUUUAAGCCAAGCUCAGUUCUCGCAUUCUAAAGAGAAAGGUCUGAUCAGCCUAAAAAUCUCGAAAACAUAACCACAAGGCCACAAAAGGUUAAAAGCGGACUUUGCAAACCCGCAUAUAAUUUUAACCAAACCCCCUUGGGGUCAUAACCUAGAAAGGUUUAAAAGCCUCCUCAGGCAAAUAUCUUGUUCAAAAGAAAUAAUAAAGCCUCCUUAGGCAAAAACAAGUUCGAAAUUAAGUCUUAAAAUUAAUGGGACAAUUCCCAAUUUAAAGUGGACACAGCCACUACGGAGCAACAGCCACCUCGGACUCCGGCUCAACAGUCGAAGCUUCAUUCGCCUCCUUGGCAGGUGCUUGGUCAGAUAAAACUCCUGGUCCGCUCUCCACAGUACAACCAUCCUCCGGGAUGACCUCCGGUGUCACAGGAACUUUGGGUGGGACGACAUCUUCCGUCUCACUUGAGCCUGGGAAGGACGGUUCCAGUUAAUUUUAAAAAAAAAAAACGUAAGGUAAGAAAAGGGUGGUAAGCGUCAGGAGCCAAGCGUUACCUGCUCAGUCUAAACCCGAUUCACUUAUAGGAGGUGAUUCAGUAAAGAAUUCCUCGAAGUCAUGCGGGUUGAAGGUCGAAGUGGGAAGAGCUGCCAAGCGACUCCGCUUUUCAGAAAGAUUAGUCGACAGUUCGGUCCUUUCUUGCUCCUCGGAGAAAUCUGUUUCAUGGAUUUGGUCCAACAGAAUCAGGUUGCUCUCAUGCUCCUUGAUGUCUGAUUCCAAGUCUGACCUAGCCUUCUCGGUCUGCAUGAAGCGGAUGGCCCCUUGGAUCAACUCCAUCCCGCGUCCCUUAACCUCCUUUCUGGCCUUCGAUGCCGACCUUGCCAACUCGGAAUCACGUAAUUUGGCGAUCGCCUUGUACUUCGCGUUAAGCUCAAUAAGUUGGUUGUUCAGGGAAUCAGCGUUUGAUUCGGAUUCUUGAAGCCUACCCUGAACACCAGAAAACUCUUCCUGGAGCUUGAAAUUCUGGUCGUACUGAUCCUGCAGCUCCCCCUUAAUCUUCGCCAGUUCGGAUGUUAGAUUGUCGACCUUGUCUUCCAGAUCGUGCUUGGAGCCGGUAGAAGAGCUUAGUUCAGCCUCAAGAGCAGAAAGCUUUUUCUUCCACGCGUCAAUCUCCUUUUCCCGACCAAGGAUCAGCCCCUCAUAAUGUUCCAUCAUGUCAUUAAGUUCACCGUUAGCCUGCCAUUAUGCAUGAAAUCGGGAUGGUGAGUCAUUUCGAUGAACGGCAGCAUAAUCGGAAAAAUAAAGCGGAACUAACCCGGGAUGAAUGAUGAGCAUGAAGCAAAUAGCGUUCACGAAUCGCAGGGCGCCACUUGUCGAAGUCUGGCAAGAUCGAACCCGAUCGGGUCUUGAAGCAUCGGAAAACGCUGCCUUCCUUCUCCAUAGUUGCAAAGGAAGAAGAGUUGUAAAAAUCGGAAUCUGAAUAGAGACAAAAACUUUUAAGACUGUGUGAAUCACCAAACCUGAAAGCGAUUUGACUUGAGGGACAAGAGCAGGCUUUAACCUCGAGGAAGCAUCUCGGGAUUCAGAAUCUCCCUUUUUGGGAGAUGCGCUCCGGGCAGUCUUUUCACUGUCAGGUUGGGAAGGGGAAGACAUAUCAACCGGUCGUGGAGGACCCAUUGGUUCAGUAGGAGGAGAUGAUCGAGGUGAACGAUCAGUCCGGGCCCUUGACUUUUCCCUUUGCGGGGAAGAAUCACUGCGAGAGGACUUGUCUCUCUUCCGGCGAACCAAGUUCUUAAUUGGUUCAUUGCUAAAAUCAUCUCGGGGAGGACGAGGUGAAUCACGGCGAGGAGAUCGGUCCCUCCGAGGAGAACGUGAAUCAUGACGAUCGCGACGAGGAGUUAAUCUGAAAGAAGCAACGGAUCUGGCUCCUUCGGUGCUGCCAUCAUCAACCAGCAGGGUCCUACUGUAGUCCUUCUUGUCUAUAGAAGUCGCGAGAAUUUUUUUCUUCUCCUCGCAAGCCUCAGCCAUCGGCUUGGAAAGCAUCUUACGCUUGGCCGCAAGGGCCCGAGAUGACAUCCCCUGAGUUGAGGGAGGAGGCGGAAGUUGGUGAAGAUGACCUGGUGGACUCAUCCUGAGUCUGUGGUUAGCUUCUAGGAAUCGUUCAAGAGUGAAAGAAUUCCAAAGGGUUUCCCCUUCAAGAAUUAUUUUGAAGAAUUCGAUGAACUCUUCAGAUGGGAGAGUGGAAGCGACGAAAGCUGCGAAAUGAAACAACGGUGUUAGUCAAUAAAGAUAAAGAAACAACCGGGAAAGAUACGGGCGACCUAAUCUCUACCAGGUUUCGCAGACCACUUCGAAGGGAGAAAAUCUGCAAGAUUUCCAAUCGAAGCGGGAGUUUUCUUAAUCAGAAACCAAGGAUGAUGCCAAUUUUCAUCCUUGUUCGGAAGAUGUGAAAUGAUGUUCCUGUUGGCGUUAGGAUAUGCUGAGAAAUACCCCGUUUUCUUCGAUGAACUUCUCACGCUUAGAAGCUCAUUUAGUUCAGUGACUCCGAUAACGUAUCCGGCCUCCGCCGCGAUUGUUAUAAUUCCAAGAACAGUACGGAGAAGAUUGGGGGUUAAUUGAGGAAGAGCGAUUUCAAGAGCCGCUAGGUAUCGAACUAGGGCUUCAGGAAGAGGAAAAGUCAGCCCGCAACCUUUAAAAUAGAUCUCAUAUACACAGAAAUAGCCGUCGCGAUGGUUUUCUGGGGACUCCGUAGGAUCAGCUAUCUGCGCCUCCGCCAUAAUUCCCGGUGGAAUUCGGCAGAGCUCUUUCAAUCGUUCGAGGGACUGAAGGGUGCAGGUGGAUCUAUAGUGUGGACCGGCAAUAUCAUUAGAGCGGGUGCACUCGUCAUUGCUAGAACGCCUCUUAUCAAAAGACGGAGACUCGGGUCUAUCGGAAUCGGAAGUCAUUGGGAAGAAUGAAAAAUUCAAGUUUCGGGAAAAAGAAGAAUUUGGAGAGAAAAGUAGAAGGAGUUUUUAACCACAAAGAUCAAGAGUAAAAGUAAUAAUGAAAAAGAAGGUUACCUCACGCAAGCUAGGUGAUAAUGAUGGAACCGUCUUGGAAAUCGUGGAAGAAGUGGGAAGGUUUUUUCCCGCUUUAAUAGUAAAACGAUAUGCGGUCAUAAUGGCGACAGAUGUCACGCGACUAAAUAUGGGUAGCACCGAAAUUAAAGGACUGAUGGGAUCUUGGCGGGAAAAUCAGAAGAUUCCUCGGAACGCAAUCUUUGGUCAUUAAAGCAUUUAAAGUCCUCCGAAUUGGAAUAGCACUUCGAAGAACUUGGGGGGCUAAUUGUUGGUGUCGGAUCCCGCACCAGAAGUCCGAGACCAACCAAAGACUGCCACGUAGUCAAGAUAAAUGCCCAUAAAGGAUGAAGCCCGUCGAAUCCGUGAGCCAAGGGAACAGUCGAAGUGGGUAUCGCCACAAGGAGAAUCCGAAGUGACUGCAUUUUGGCAUGAGUCCGGCAUCGAAAUUACGGUUGAAUCGGUUUAAGGACAUUUGGGCCAAAAGGCGGGGCCCAUGAAGAUCAGAGUCAAUUCAAAUUCAAACGUUGAGGCAUUAAAGCCGAAGAUCAAAACGGACACAUUUAAGAGAGAAUAAUUAUACUUAAUUAGCCAUUUUAAUGUCGUUUUCCUAUGUAUAAAUACAAAGGCCAAUGGCCAUGUAA
RNAcentral lists this long non-coding RNA (11643 nucleotides) under Arabidopsis lyrata. RNAcentral describes it as "long non-coding RNA (ALYR_LNC000528)". The record is from RNAcentral. Lineage: Eukaryota; Viridiplantae; Streptophyta; Magnoliopsida; Brassicales; Brassicaceae.